CUACGGAAGGCAGCAGUGAGGAAUUUUCCACAAUGGGCGAAAGCCUGAUGGAGCAACGCCGCGUGAAGGAUGACGGCCUUCGGGUUGUAAACUUCUUUUAAAUGGGAAGAUUAUGACGGUACCAUUUGAAUAAGCAUCGGCUAACUACGUGCCAGCAGCCGCGGUAAUACGUAGGAUGCGAGCGUUAUCCGGAAUUACUGGGCGUAAAGCGUGUGUAGGUGGUCUGUUAAGUAAAAUGUUAAAUUUGUGGGCUCAACUUACAAACUGCAUUUUAUACUGGCAGACUUGAGGAUGGAAGAGGUAAGCGGAAUUACAGGUGGAGCGGUGAAAUGCGUAGAUAUCUGUAGGAACACCAAUGGCGAAGGCAGCUUACUGGGCCAUUCCUGACACUGAGACACGAAAGCGUGGGGAGCAAACAGGAUUAGAUACCCCGGUAGC
RNAcentral lists this ribosomal RNA (438 nucleotides) under uncultured bacterium. RNAcentral's name for it is "bacterial SSU rRNA". It matches the Rfam family "Bacterial small subunit ribosomal RNA", at positions 339 to 794 of the family's 1533-position model. The record is from RNAcentral.